This 507-nucleotide long non-coding RNA is filed under the name Monodelphis domestica (gray short-tailed opossum). RNAcentral's name for it is "lncRNA (ENSMODG00000048311.1)". Lineage: Eukaryota; Metazoa; Chordata; Mammalia; Didelphimorphia; Didelphidae. The record is from RNAcentral.
ACCGCUGUGGCCCAAAAUCCUGACAAGGAACUCAUUAGUCUUUCUCCUUUGAAGCUUCUUAUAAAAAGCUAAAUAAAGGACUUUAGACUUAUAUUUCUAAGGCAUACUAUAGAGCUAACAGCCCCUUGGAAAGGGAAUAGAACAAGUAAAAAAUAAGACCUUGAGGGCAAGGACUCCUUUAUCCAAUUGGCUUCUUGACUCUGCAACGACAUAAUGUUUCCCUAAGUGAGCAUCACUCCUGGAAGGGCUGCUGUAUCCUUUGGAAACCAUAAGAGAAUCUUUUUCCCACCUUCUCUCUUCAGAGUCUCAAGACCAAGAGACUCACUGCUCUCCAAGCCAGAGUCUCCUCUUCCUCCAGAAUCUACUCCUUGGGCCCCUCCACCGUCAAGGUGAUCAAUUUGACCUACUCUUCAGUCUGGCACUUUUUCUCUAGUGCCAGCCUCUGUCACAUUAUUUUAAUAACAAUAAAAUUGUUUUUUAUUAUUUGUAUCAUAUUUAUGGUUAUAU